GAGGUCCAAGGGAUCCCUGACCUCACAACCCACAGCGACACGGUGGAGGAGGAUGAGGACCUGUAUGACUGCGUGGAGAAUGAGGAGGCGGAAGGCGACGAGAUCUAUGAGGACCUCAUGCGCUCGGAGCCCGUGUCCAUGCCGCCCAAGAUGACAGAGUAUGACAAGCGCUGCUGCUGCCUGCGGGAGAUCCAGCAGACGGAGGAGAAGUACACUGACACGCUGGGCUCCAUCCAGCAGCAUUUCUUGAAGCCCCUGCAACGGUUCCUGAAACCUCAAGACAUUGAGAU
Molecule: long non-coding RNA, 290 nt
Filed under: Pan troglodytes (chimpanzee)
Lineage: Eukaryota; Metazoa; Chordata; Mammalia; Primates; Hominidae
Description: long non-coding RNA NONPTRT007932
Source: RNAcentral